UGCAUUAUUCUAAAUGGUUUUAUUGUUUUUAUAUAUUCUGAUCAACACUAAUAAAUGCUAUUAUAUUCGGGCUUACAACCCGAAGGUCGUAGGUUCAAAUCCUGCCCCCGCAACCA
RNAcentral lists this transfer RNA (116 nucleotides) under Nitrosomonas sp. Is79A3. RNAcentral's name for it is "tRNA-Leu (CAA) (tRNA-Leu-CAA-2-1)". The stretch from base 49 to 105 matches the Rfam family "tRNA", at positions 8 to 63 of the family's 71-position model. The record is from RNAcentral. Lineage: Bacteria; Pseudomonadati; Pseudomonadota; Betaproteobacteria; Nitrosomonadales; Nitrosomonadaceae.